This 484-nucleotide ribosomal RNA is filed under the name uncultured bacterium. Its description in RNAcentral is "partial 16S ribosomal RNA". It matches the Rfam family "Bacterial small subunit ribosomal RNA", at positions 30 to 507 of the family's 1533-position model. The record is from RNAcentral.
AUUGAACGCUGGCGGCAGGCCUAACACAUGCAAGUCGAGCGGAUGAAGGGAGCUUGCUCCUGGAUUCAGCGGCGGACGGGUGAGUAAUGCCUAGGAAUCUGCCUGGUAGUGGGGGAUAACGUCCGGAAACGGGCGCUAAUACCGCAUACGUCCUGAGGGAGAAAGUGGGGGAUCUUCGGACCUCACGCUAUCAGAUGAGCCUAGGUCGGAUUAGCUAGUUGGUGGGGUAAAGGCCUACCAAGGCGACGAUCCGUAACUGGUCUGAGAGGAUGAUCAGUCACACUGGAACUGAGACACGGUCCAGACUCCUACGGGAGGCAGCAGUGGGGAAUAUUGGACAGUGGGCGAAAGCCUGAUCCAGCCAUGCCGCGUGUGUGAAGAAGGUCUUCGGAUUGUAAAGCACUUUAAGUUGGGAGGAAGGGCAGUAAGUUAAUACCUUGCUGUUUUGACCUUACCAACAGAAUAAGCACCGGCUAACUUCGUG